GGGCGAUUAGCUCAGCGGUAGAGCACUGGCCUCACAUGCCAGGGGUCGCAGGUUCGAACCCUGCAUCGCCCACCA
Molecule: transfer RNA, 75 nt
Filed under: bacterium
Lineage: Bacteria
Description: tRNA-Val
Rfam family: tRNA
About the family: Transfer RNA (tRNA) molecules are approximately 80 nucleotides in length.
Source: RNAcentral